Dermacentor silvarum is the source of this 794-nucleotide long non-coding RNA. RefSeq lists it as uncharacterized. The record is from RefSeq and is a predicted model, not a curated record. NCBI's taxonomy places the organism in Eukaryota, Metazoa, Arthropoda, Arachnida, Ixodida, Ixodidae. The transcript is spliced from 3 exons.
GGCAAUGUGGCGCUGCGAUCGUUCAACUAUCAUGGGAAUGAUGGGAAGUACAGGCUACGGAUUGGUAUUCUGUUGACUGGCGAACUAGUCUACAGGUAUUUUUUUGUCAGUUUUGGUUUCGCUAGUUUUGCUCCAAGCGCAGUUGCUACAAUCCGCAGUGGGGCAGUGCGGCGCAAAACUCUCGAGCUCUCUGUAUUUGUUCGGUCGCUCGAAGUAGCGAUAGGGUUCUUUAUUCUAUGGCGAUAGCGUGCUGAGCAAGCGACUGGAACGAUGCUUGUGUCGCGGCGUGUUGACGAAGCCCUGACGAGAAAGCGACGGCAUCGUAAAAGGAUGUUUUAGGAUGUUUUAAAACAUCCUAAGCGCAGUGUCCACCAACAGUGACAUCACAGGAAUGACAGGAUCUCUGCCCUUUGAAGUUAGCCCAGCCUUCUCGUCCUGUGGGGCAGCAUGUAUGCAGACCUGAGAGAGACUGACGUUUUGGGAUCUGCUACACCUUUCUCUUCCCUGGUAUGCAGUGAAAAUAAAUUGAAAGUUGAAAUGAAAUAAACAAACAUACUUCUACCCUUGUGUUGUCACUGCUUGGUUGAAACAAAGUCGGCACUGCUCCUUCACGCAGUCGGCGUCGUUGUAGACCACCGCAAAAGUUAGAUUGCUCGAAGUGGGCAGAGCACAGAGCAUGACGUCUGGUUGGAGCAAAGCCUCUCAGACCCAUGGCUUGAAGCCAUUUUUGCAGGAGGAUGGGAUUGUCAAUUGGAAACCUGUUUAUUGAACACAAAAAGUGCAGAAAGUGGUCA